Long non-coding RNA from Callorhinchus milii (elephant shark), 451 nucleotides. RefSeq lists it as uncharacterized. The transcript is spliced from 2 exons. The record is from RefSeq and is a predicted model, not a curated record. NCBI's taxonomy places the organism in Eukaryota, Metazoa, Chordata, Chondrichthyes, Chimaeriformes, Callorhinchidae.
ACGACAUAAGGCGCUAUAUGAAAUGCAAGGCUGAUUAUUAUCAGCAGGAGUUGUUGUGUGAGCUGUAGGGCCUGGCAGGCAGGCAGGCAGGCAGGCAAGGCAGGAGCUAAUGUGUAGAGCGGCCACUGAGUCAGAGUAGCGAGGGAGGGAGCGAGAAUCAAUCAAAUAAGUGACGUGUGCACUGUGAAGGAGGGCGUAGGGAAAUGAGAGAAAAUGUGGAAGACAGACAACGCAAAGGCAGAUAAGCACCUGGCAAUUCUGGCCUACAGAAACACGCCGAACGACAAUGAAGGACAUUCACCAGCACAAAUACUGAUGUCAAUACAGUUAAGAGAUUUAUUAAUCUCAGACCAAACACAAUUGAGACCUCAGAUACAACACAAUAGAAAUGGAGGGAAACCACAAAGUGAACCAGGAAAGGGAGAACUUUUGCAAAAGGAGAAAAAAUACC